AGCAGCCGCGGUAAUUCCAGCUCCAAUAGCGUAUAUUAAAGUUGUUGCAGUUAAAAAGCUCGUAGUUGAAUUUCGGGACCAAUUUGUUGGUCGUGCCUCGGUACGUACUGGUAUUAUUGGUUUCUCCCUUCUGAAGAACCAUGAUGCCAUUAAUUUGGUGUCGUGGGGAAUCAGGACUGUUACUUUGAAAAAAUUAGAGUGUUUAAAGCAGGCAUACGCUUGAAUACAUUAGCAUGGAAUAAUGAAAUAGGACGUUUGAUUCUAUUUUGUUGGUUUCUAGGAUCGACGUAAUGAUUAAUAGGGAUAGUUGGGGGCAUUAGUAUUCAAUUGUCAGAGGUGAAAUUCUUGGAUUUAUUGAAGACUAACUACUGCGAAAAGCAUUUGCCAAGGAUGUUUUCAUUAAUCAAGAACGAAAGUUAGGGGAUCGAAGACGAUCAGAUACCGUCGUAGUCUUAACCAUAAACCUAUGCCGACUAGGGAUCGGAUGAUGUUAAUUUUUAAUGACUCAUUCGGCG
This 515-nucleotide ribosomal RNA is filed under the name uncultured Glomus. RNAcentral's name for it is "SSU rRNA". It matches the Rfam family "Eukaryotic small subunit ribosomal RNA", at positions 569 to 1085 of the family's 1831-position model. The record is from RNAcentral. Lineage: Eukaryota; Fungi; Glomeromycota; Glomeromycetes; Glomerales; Glomeraceae.